This 255-nucleotide ribosomal RNA is filed under the name uncultured bacterium. RNAcentral's name for it is "partial 16S ribosomal RNA". It matches the Rfam family "Bacterial small subunit ribosomal RNA", at positions 524 to 776 of the family's 1533-position model. The record is from RNAcentral.
UACGUAGGGUGCGAGCGUUGUCCGGAAUUAUUGGGCGUAAAGAGCUCGUAGGCGGUUUGUCGCGUCUGCCGUGAAAGUCCGGGGCUCAACUCCGGAUCUGCGGUGGGUACGGGCAGACUAGAGUGAUGUAGGGGGAGACUGGAAUUCCUGGUGUAGCGGUGAAAUGCGCAGAUAUCAGGAGGAACACCGAUGGCGAAGGCAGGUCUCUGGGCAUUAACUGACGCUGAGGAGCGAAAGCAUGGGGGAGCGAACAGG